UUUAUAAGUGAAUUCUCCAGGAAAUACGACCUUCAGAGAAUCCUCGUAAGUGAAGUCAGGCCCCCAGUGAGCGCCUUCAACCCCGAGAGCAGCUCUGCGCGCGCGCGUCUCUCCUGACCACACAGGCAAGUGUCCUCUCUGUGGCCGGAUCAGAGGUGUCAGCAAAUGAGGCCUGGAGCAGCUUCAGGAAGGAAGGAAAUCAGAGAAGCUGGGAAGGCAGCCUUUCCUCCACUGCUCCGGGUCACAGAGCUGACCCCGGAUAGGAAGGAGGUCAGCACUGGCGGCCAGGCGAUUCCUCAAGGAAAACCCCAAAGGAUGAGCAGGGAAGGAGGAAGGAAGCAUUCUCAGCCAAGGGGAUGGAGUAGGGCGCUGAGCUUCUGCCAACCAUGGAAAGGCCAGCCCUUUGGUUCUCACAUCUGAAGAAAACACCACGAAGGUCCCCUGAAAACUGUCCCAUCGGGCUUCCAUCUCACAUCCCGUGAGCUGACGUCUCCCUCUCUUCCUAGCUGUAAUCUCUUUUUAAAAAGAAAUUGCCCAGACCCCUUUGCAUCGAUAUUCUCUUUUGAACAAAACUGUGUAAAUGGAGGUCCCAUGAUUAAUGUUUUGAGACCUACAACAUUUUAAGACAUUUAUGGGGAAAAACUUCUUUCCAAAUGACUUAACGUAGGAGUCCCUUAAGUAUGCUCUUAGACUGACGUUUCUUAAAUCGUGUGUGAACCUCGUUUAUGAGUGGAAAUUUAAUAACCACUGACUCAUAGCUAGAUAAAAGGGACAUGUCUGAGCUGGGCAGCUUAAUGACACAUUCAAACCAGGGGUUCCACGACGGUGCAGAUGUCACACGCACAGAAUCUGUCCGAUAGCGGUUGCACAAGUCAAGAUUAAAGUGAAAGUCUGAACUGAAGCUUGAGGGUGUGGCUGCGGAUAGCAGCGAGGUGCACAAGUGAAAACAGGCAACCAGAGAGAUGUUUCAGGAGAGGCUCUGAGAACAUCUUCCCACAGCGCUCCAAGCAAGGAGGACACCUGUUACCGAGAUCUGGGACACAGGCAUCGAGUUUCUUUCUUUAUCUAUUGGUUCAAGGAAAAGCCAUAGGCUCCGCAGUUAAGUGGUAUAACCAGCAGUCUGACUCCAUCUGCCUUUUCUGAGAACCUGCUGCCAUGGACUCCGGCAUGCUGCCUGCCCGAGAGUCUCACCCCCUCAGCCUGUUUACAGCACUGCGGCUGGGAAAAAGCAAACCUCACACUUCCCUGUGCCUGGAGUUCUUCCACCCACCACUCGCAGUAAAACUCCUCCUCGGGGCAGACAAACCUUGUUAAGAUCUAGUCCCCAACAUGGGUUUGGCUUCAUUCCCUGCCACCCUCCAUACGCCCCAAUCUCUGCCAAAUCCAGUUCCAUGCCAGCCGCUCUCUGCAGGGCCACGAGGAGCUGCACACCGGCUUGCCCCUCUGCCCAAGUGACAACACUAUGAACAGGGCAGUGACACCCAGCUUCACUGCAGACCAAGAAUCUGAUGCAGCCUUACAGCCGCAGCCCUGGCCUGCAACUGGAGGCUGCUUUUCAGCUCCGUUAUCCUCUGUAUGCAUGGCUGCUACCCUUGCUUGGACACAGAUAAUGAGUGUUUAAUUUGGGGAUUCCAAUUUUUAGAUUGUUUAAGCAAAGGUCUCAUACUAUACCUCCAAGCUAGCCAGGAACUUACUGGAUAGCCCAAGCUGGCCUCAAACUCAUGGCAAUUCUCCUGCCUCGGUCUCCCAAGUCUAGGAGUACAAGUAUGUGCCACCAUGCCCACCUGAAGUGCCUGGCAUUUUUCAUUCACACUACAAGGAGAAACAACAGCAAGGCAACAGAUAACCCCUGACUAACACUCCACUUGCAAAUAAUUCAUUUUAAUUUUUAAGCCUGUCAAGUCAUAAUAUGAGACAACUAACCGGGUUUGAAUUUCAUUUAUGGACUCUAAGAAUAAACGUU
RNAcentral lists this long non-coding RNA (1963 nucleotides) under Mus musculus (house mouse). Its description in RNAcentral is "RIKEN cDNA 4933403J19 gene". Lineage: Eukaryota; Metazoa; Chordata; Mammalia; Rodentia; Muridae. The record is from RNAcentral.